GCCCGUCUAGUUCAGUCCAAUAGAGCGCAAGACUGUUAAUCUUGUGGUCGUGGCUUCGAGCCCCACGGUGGGUG
Phytophthora infestans T30-4 is the source of this 74-nucleotide transfer RNA. It matches the Rfam family "tRNA". Rfam says of the family: Transfer RNA (tRNA) molecules are approximately 80 nucleotides in length. Their secondary structure includes four short double-helical elements and three loops (D, anti-codon, and T loops). Lineage: Eukaryota; Oomycota; Peronosporomycetes; Peronosporales; Peronosporaceae. The record is from Rfam.